RNAcentral lists this long non-coding RNA (462 nucleotides) under Androctonus crassicauda. The record is from RNAcentral. Lineage: Eukaryota; Metazoa; Arthropoda; Arachnida; Scorpiones; Buthidae.
AUUUUUUGUUUGGACAUGAGUGUAUAUUUUAGUAUCCAUGAUUCUAUGAAUGUAUACAGUAGAAGAUUAUGAGCUGGUCUGGUGCUCAAAUAUUCAAACACUGCCACUUAUUUUGCAAACAUUUCAUUCCUUGGGAAAGAGGUUUGGAAUGUUCCAGACGAAUUAGUGGCACAGAGACCAUUGAUUGUAGCAGGGACCAAGGAAGUUUCUGGAACAACUCAACAGAAAUUUCAUUAUACACUGAUUUUUUGAAUGUUAUGAUUUCUAGAAAAGAUUCAUUAUAGUGAAUUUUUUCAUAACAGAUUUUGUUAUGAGAUUCUUCUAGCAUUGUCUUUUAUAAGUUAUGUGUAGGGGCUUCAUUAUAAAUUUGUUAUAUUGAAAAUUUUGUUAUAACAGAAUUUUACUUUUUGUUCUAUAUAUGAGAUAACAGAAAAUACAAUUUUUUUAUAUGAAAUCUUAUCC